GGUUAAGCGACUAAGCGUACACGGUGGAUGCCCUGGCAGUCAGAGGCGAUGAAGGACGUGCUAAUCUGCGAUAAGCGUCGGUAAGGUGAUAUGAACCGUUAUAACCGGCGAUUUCCGAAUGGGGAAACCCAGUGUGUUUCGACACACUAUCAUUAACUGAAUCCAUAGGUUAAUGAGGCGAACCGGGGGAACUGAAACAUCUAAGUACCCCGAGGAAAAGAAAUCAACCGAGAUUCCCCCAGUAGCGGCGAGCGAACGGGGAGCAGCCCAGAGCCUGAAUCAGUGUGUGUGUUAGUGGAAGCGUCUGGAAAGGCGCGCGAUACAGGGUGACAGCCCCGUACACAAAAAUGCACAUACUGUGAGCUCGAUGAGUAGGGCGGGACACGUGGUAUCCUGUCUGAAUAUGGGGGGACCAUCCUCCAAGGCUAAAUACUCCUGACUGACCGAUAGUGAACCAGUACCGUGAGGGAAAGGCGAAAAGAACCCCGGCGAGGGGAGUGAAAAAGAACCUGAAACCGUGUACGUACAAGCAGUGGGAGCACGCUUCGGCGUGUGACUGCGUACCUUUUGUAUAAUGGGUCAGCGACUUAUAUUCUGUAGCAAGGUUAACCGAAUAGGGGAGCCGAAGGGAAACCGAGUCUUAACUGGGCGUUAAGUUGCAGGGUAUAGACCCGAAACCCGGUGAUCUAGCCAUGGGCAGGUUGAAGGUUGGGUAACACUAACUGGAGGACCGAACCGACUAAUGUUGAAAAAUUAGCGGAUGACUUGUGGCUGGGGGUGAAAGGCCAAUCAAACCGGGAGAUAGCUGGUUCUCCCCGAAAGCUAUUUAGGUAGCGCCUCGUGAACUCAUCUUCGGGGGUAGAGCACUGUUUCGGCAAGGGGGUCAUCCCGACUUACCAACCCGAUGCAAACUGCGAAUACCGGAGAAUGUUAUCACGGGAGACACACGGCGGGUGCUAACGUCCGUCGUGAAGAGGGAAACAACCCAGACCGCCAGCUAAGGUCCCAAAGUCAUGGUUAAGUGGGAAACGAUGUGGGAAGGCCCAGACAGCCAGGAUGUUGGCUUAGAAGCAGCCAUCAUUUAAAGAAAGCGUAAUAGCUCACUGGUCGAGUCGGCCUGCGCGGAAGAUGUAACGGGGCUAAACCAUGCACCGAAGCUGCGGCAGCGACACUAUGUGUUGUUGGGUAGGGGAGCGUUCUGUAAGCCUGUGAAGGUGUGCUGUGAGGCAUGCUGGAGGUAUCAGAAGUGCGAAUGCUGACAUAAGUAACGAUAAAGCGGGUGAAAAGCCCGCUCGCCGGAAGACCAAGGGUUCCUGUCCAACGUUAAUCGGGGCAGGGUGAGUCGACCCCUAAGGCGAGGCCGAAAGGCGUAGUCGAUGGGAAACAGGUUAAUAUUCCUGUACUUGGUGUUACUGCGAAGGGGGGACGGAGAAGGCUAUGUUGGCCGGGCGACGGUUGUCCCGGUUUAAGCGUGUAGGCUGGUUUUCCAGGCAAAUCCGGAAAAUCAAGGCUGAGGCGUGAUGACGAGGCACUACGGUGCUGAAGCAACAAAUGCCCUGCUUCCAGGAAAAGCCUCUAAGCAUCAGGUAACAUUAAAUCGUACCCCAAACCGACACAGGUGGUCAGGUAGAGAAUACCAAGGCGCUUGAGAGAACUCGGGUGAAGGAACUAGGCAAAAUGGUGCCGUAACUUCGGGAGAAGGCACGCUGAUAUGUAGGUGAAGUCCCUCGCGGAUGGAGCUGAAAUCAGUCGAAGAUACCAGCUGGCUGCAACUGUUUAUUAAAAACACAGCACUGUGCAAACACGAAAGUGGACGUAUACGGUGUGACGCCUGCCCGGUGCCGGAAGGUUAAUUGAUGGGGUUAGCGGUAACGCGAAGCUCUUGAUCGAAGCCCCGGUAAACGGCGGCCGUAACUAUAACGGUCCUAAGGUAGCGAAAUUCCUUGUCGGGUAAGUUCCGACCUGCACGAAUGGCGUAAUGAUGGCCAGGCUGUCUCCACCCGAGACUCAGUGAAAUUGAACUCGCUGUGAAGAUGCAGUGUACCCGCGGCAAGACGGAAAGACCCCGUGAACCUUUACUAUAGCUUGACACUGAACAUUGAGCCUUGAUGUGUAGGAUAGGUGGGAGGCUUUGAAGUGUGGACGCCAGUCUGCAUGGAGCCGACCUUGAAAUACCACCCUUUAAUGUUUGAUGUUCUAACGUUGACCCGUAAUCCGGGUUGCGGACAGUGUCUGGUGGGUAGUUUGACUGGGGCGGUCUCCUCCUAAAGAGUAACGGAGGAGCACGAAGGUUGGCUAAUCCUGGUCGGACAUCAGGAGGUUAGUGCAAUGGCAUAAGCCAGCUUGACUGCGAGCGUGACGGCGCGAGCAGGUGCGAAAGCAGGUCAUAGUGAUCCGGUGGUUCUGAAUGGAAGGGCCAUCGCUCAACGGAUAAAAGGUACUCCGGGGAUAACAGGCUGAUACCGCCCAAGAGUUCAUAUCGACGGCGGUGUUUGGCACCUCGAUGUCGGCUCAUCACAUCCUGGGGCUGAAGUAGGUCCCAAGGGUAUGGCUGUUCGCCAUUUAAAGUGGUACGCGAGCUGGGUUUAGAACGUCGUGAGACAGUUCGGUCCCUAUCUGCCGUGGGCGCUGGAGAACUGAGGGGGGCUGCUCCUAGUACGAGAGGACCGGAGUGGACGCAUCACUGGUGUUCGGGUUGUCAUGCCAAUGGCACUGCCCGGUAGCUAAAUGCGGAAGAGAUAAGUGCUGAAAGCAUCUAAGCACGAAACUUGCCCCGAGAUGAGUUCUCCCUGACUCCUUGAGAGUCCUGAAGGAACGUUGAAGACGACGACGUUGAUAGGCCGGGUGUGUAAGCGCAGCGAUGCGUUGAGCUAACCGGUACUAAUGAACCGUGAGGCUUAACCUUACAACGCCGAAGCUGUUUUG
Molecule: ribosomal RNA, 2925 nt
Filed under: Escherichia coli O145:H28 str. RM12581
Lineage: Bacteria; Pseudomonadati; Pseudomonadota; Gammaproteobacteria; Enterobacterales; Enterobacteriaceae
Also listed under: 1 other name
Description: bacterial LSU rRNA
Rfam family: Bacterial large subunit ribosomal RNA
Source: RNAcentral